GAGAGAGAGAGAGAGCAUGUGGAUGUGAAAUUUGUUACUUUGCUGCUGCCACUGUUGCUCCCCGUUUCUUCUUCUUCCACUGGCGCCGCCGACUUUCUAAUCAAACAUUGCGAAAAACAUUCGAGCCAAGCGCAAACGCGCACACACACAACCCAGGAAUGAGUGCCGGCUAAACAAUUACAACGAACCACAACAAAAUAUUGCACAUAGUUGUCUGUUUGGCGAUGACGCAUUAGUUUGUGGUCAAAAAAACGACGAAUUUCGUACGCCACGGUUUAUAUUUACCUUGAAAUAUAGAGAUGGGAACACAACGAUGACAAUGUUGGAAUCGAUAAGCAAUUGGCGGAAAUCAAGAUGGCAACUCUCAAUAUAUUAGAGAUUAUGGCUGGCAGCCCCGGACUCGUGUAAAAUAUUAGGAUGGCAACACCCAACAUGUGUAGAAGUCUGUUUGGCAACUCAACAAAAGAGACCAUUUCCGCAAAAGUACGUUAUUUUCAAAUUGCCAUCAAGGUAAUGAAUAGAUUUGGACAAUACAUUUGAAAAACGUUUAUUUUCAUGUAAUAUUUUUUUAUUAAAAUGGAUACAUUUAUGAAUAUAGACUCAUAUAGCAAUAUAGCAAU
Molecule: non-coding RNA, 620 nt
Organism: Drosophila melanogaster (fruit fly)
Lineage: Eukaryota; Metazoa; Arthropoda; Insecta; Diptera; Drosophilidae
Source: Ensembl